UACGUAGGGCGCGAGCGUUGUCCGGAAUUAUUGGGCGUAAAGAGCUCGUAGGCGGCUUGUCGCGUCGUCUGUGUAAUCCCGCGGCUCAACCGCGGGUCUGCAGUCGAUACGGGCAGGCUAGAGUUCGGUAGGGGAGACUGGAAUUCCUGGUGUAGCGGUGAAAUGCGCAGAUAUCAGGAGGAACACCGGUGGCGAAGGCGGGUCUCUGGGCCGAUACUGACGCUGAGGAGCGAAAGCGUGGGGAGCGAACAGG
This 253-nucleotide ribosomal RNA is filed under the name uncultured bacterium. Its description in RNAcentral is "partial 16S ribosomal RNA". It matches the Rfam family "Bacterial small subunit ribosomal RNA", at positions 524 to 776 of the family's 1533-position model. The record is from RNAcentral.